RNAcentral lists this ribosomal RNA (595 nucleotides) under uncultured bacterium. RNAcentral describes it as "bacterial SSU rRNA". It matches the Rfam family "Bacterial small subunit ribosomal RNA", at positions 99 to 710 of the family's 1533-position model. The record is from RNAcentral.
CGGACGGGUGAGUAACGCGUGAGCAACCUGCCUUUCAGAGGGGGAUAACGUUUGGAAACGAACGCUAAUACCGCACGAUAUGAUCGAACCGCAUGGUUUGAUGAUCAAAGGAGCAAUCCGCUGAAAGAUGGGCUCGCGUCCGAUUAGGUAGUUGGCGGGGUAACGGCCCACCAAGCCGACGAUCGGUAGCCGGACUGAGAGGUUGAACGGCCACAUUGGGACUGAGACACGGUCCAGACUCCUACGGGAGGCAGCAGUGAGGGAUAUUGGUCAAUGGGGGAAACCCUGAACCAGCAACGCCGCGUGAGGGAAGACGGUUUUCGGAUUGUAAACCUCUGUCCUCUGUGAAGAUAAUGACGGUAGCAGAGGAGGAAGCUCCGGCUAACUACGUGCCAGCAGCCGCGGUAAUACGUAGGGAGCAAGCGUUGUCCGGCUUUACUGGGUGUAAAGGGUGCGUAGGCGGGCUUGCAAGUCAGAAGUGAAAUCUAUGGGCUUAACCCAUAAACUGCUUUUGAAACUGUAAGUCUUGAGUGAAGUAGAGGUAGGCGGUAUUCCCGGUGUAGCGGUGAAAUGCGUAGAGAUCGGGAGGAACACC